RNAcentral lists this ribosomal RNA (253 nucleotides) under uncultured bacterium. RNAcentral's name for it is "partial 16S ribosomal RNA". It matches the Rfam family "Bacterial small subunit ribosomal RNA", at positions 524 to 776 of the family's 1533-position model. The record is from RNAcentral.
UACGAAGGGGGCUAGCGUUGUUCGGAAUCACUGGGCGUAAAGAGUGUGUAGGCGGUGCUCUAAGUUUGGUGUGAAAUCUCCCGGCUCAACUGGGAGGGUGCGCCGAAAACUGGAAUGCUUGAACAUGGGAGAGGAAAGCGGAAUUCCUGGUGUAGCGGUGAAAUGCGUAGAUAUCAGGAGGAACACCUGCGGUGUAGACGGCUUUCUGGACCAUUGUUGACGCUGAGACACGAAAGCGUGGGUAGCAAACAGG